This 504-nucleotide ribosomal RNA is filed under the name uncultured bacterium. Its description in RNAcentral is "partial 16S ribosomal RNA". It matches the Rfam family "Bacterial small subunit ribosomal RNA", at positions 30 to 523 of the family's 1533-position model. The record is from RNAcentral.
AUUGAACGCUGGCGGCACGCCUAACACAUGCAAGUCGAGCGGCAGCGAGAUUAGUAGCAAUACUAAUUGUCGGCGAGCGGCGGACGGGUGAGUAAUACGUAAGAAUCUGCCCUCAAGCGGGGGAUAACUAAUGGAAACGUUAGCUAAUACCGCAUAAUCCCGAGAGAGAAAAGGUGCCCGUAAGGGUGUCACUUGAGGAGGAGCUUGCGUCUGAUUAGCUAGUUGGUGGGGUAAGAGCCUACCAAGGGGAUGAUCAGUAACUGGUCUGAGAGGACGACCAGUCACACGGGGACUGAGACACGGCCCAGACUCCUACGGGAGGCAGCAGUGGGGAAUAUUGGACAAUGGGGGAAACCCUGAUCCAGCGAUGCCGCGUGAGUGAAGAAGGCCUUCGGGUCGUAAAGCUCUUUAGGUUGGGAAGAAGAAUGUAGGUUGAAUACACCUAUGUUUUGACGGUACCGACAGAAUAAGCACCGGCAAACUCUGUGCCAGCCGCCGCAGUAA